Pelobates cultripes (western spadefoot toad) is the source of this 939-nucleotide non-coding RNA. The record is from the annotation of a GenBank genome assembly. Lineage: Eukaryota; Metazoa; Chordata; Amphibia; Anura; Pelobatidae.
CAUUACAUCAUUAUCUCCUAUCCAAUAGGAGCAGUCCUUCUCUGAUAUCCUUUCCUGUAACCUCCUCCUCUCCCUCUUUCUUUGCUGCUGCCUCAGCUAAGUAACACUUUGUUUUUUCUCUUAACUGUCAUUUGUACUUAUAUAUGUGUGUAUGACUUUAUUUUAAAUUAUGCCUGUUUUGUGACCUGACUUAAACUCAGCAGAACGCAUUGUGCGUUUGGAGUACACCCCCCCUUCAAGCUAACCCUCCGUGGGGGGGCCCCUUUCCCACAUUGUCCCGCCGGUACCCCGCCCCCCCCGCGGGGAUACCGGCUCCACACUUGCCGCUGGGUAGUUUAUUACCCCCCUCAUCGGUCACGCGGCGCAGGGAACCCUCGAGGACCGGACCGGCUCUCUCUCCCGGCGGAGGGUUCCCCCGCCGCGGCCUCUCGUUCGUGAGCGCCGCGCGCGCAUGCGCGGCCCGUACUGGCGCCCAUCUUAAAGGGGCGGCACUAGAAAAAUUUUUGCCGCUCUUUUUUCUCCCUCAGCUCGUUCAGCCCACUGCAGGGCGCGAGCUGAUUGGUUUGUUUGCUGUACUGUUAGCUUGCCAGUGAUCCCAGGAGCCAUUCCUGAGGGAACACUCGGUAAGCUAACAGUACAUUCUGUGCUUGUUGUCCUGCUGCCUUGUCUCUUGCCUGUUUUAGUAGCUCAUUACUGACACAUCAGGUAGCCAUAUACAUAAUCCUGUCUUUUAAACCCAUGAUGCAGACCCCUGAGGCUUUUUCUGCCCCUGGCACCAGUGAUAAAGGUGAUACUAAGGCCCAGCACGGGCCCUCCGUGGCUGAACCCAUAUCCCUGCAUAGGGACAUGGUGGCCCCUCUGGAGCAAUUGGACUCUGAGGAGUUCCACUCGCUCCUGGACGCCACCAUGUCAAAAUCAGUUACCCAAGCUAUCUUUACC